AAUCAACGCUGGCGGCGUGCCUCAGACAUGCAAGUCGAACGCGAAAGUCCCCUUCGGGGGAUGAUUAGAGUGGCGCACGGGUGAGUAACACGUAGGUAAUCUACCUUCGAGUGGGGAAUAACUCAGGGAAACUUGAGCUAAUACCGCAUAAUGCAGCGGCACCACAUGGUGACAGUUGUUAAAGCAUUUAUGCGCUUGAAGAGGAGCCUGCGGCAGAUUAGCUAGUUGGUAAGGUAAUGGCUUACCAAGGCUACGAUCUGUAACCGGCCUGAGAGGGCGGACGGUCACACUGACACUGAAUAACGGGUCAGACUCCUACGGGAGGCAGCAGUC
RNAcentral lists this ribosomal RNA (333 nucleotides) under uncultured bacterium. RNAcentral's name for it is "bacterial SSU rRNA". It matches the Rfam family "Bacterial small subunit ribosomal RNA", at positions 32 to 356 of the family's 1533-position model. The record is from RNAcentral.